RNAcentral lists this ribosomal RNA (404 nucleotides) under uncultured bacterium. Its description in RNAcentral is "bacterial SSU rRNA". It matches the Rfam family "Bacterial small subunit ribosomal RNA", at positions 355 to 776 of the family's 1533-position model. The record is from RNAcentral.
UGGGGAAUAUUGGACAAUGGGGGCAACCCUGAUCCAGCAAUGCCGCGUGUGUGAAGAAGGUCUUCGGAUUGUAAAGCACUUUCGACGGGGACGAUGAUGACGGUACCCGUAGAAGAAGCCCCGGCUAACUUCGUGCCAGCAGCCGCGGUAAUACGAAGGGGGCUAGCGUUGCUCGGAAUGACUGGGCGUAAAGGGCGUGUAGGCGGUUUACACAGUCAGAUGUGAAAUCCCCGGGCUUAACCUGGGAGCUGCAUUUGAUACGUGUAGACUAGAGUGUGAGAGAGGGUUGUGGAAUUCCCAGUGUAGAGGUGAAAUUCGUAGAUAUUGGGAAGAACACCGGUGGCGAAGGCGGCAACCUGGCUCAUUACUGACGCUGAGGCGCGAAAGCGUGGGGAGCAAACAGG